RNAcentral lists this ribosomal RNA (344 nucleotides) under uncultured bacterium. Its description in RNAcentral is "bacterial SSU rRNA". It matches the Rfam family "Bacterial small subunit ribosomal RNA", at positions 995 to 1364 of the family's 1533-position model. The record is from RNAcentral.
GGGUCCGUGAGAGCAGGACCUUCAGUUCGGCUGGUUGGGUGACAGGUGCGUGCAUGGCGUGUCGUCAGCUCGUGUCGUGAGAUGUUGGGUUAAGUCCCGCAACGAGCGCAACCCACGCCCUCAGUUGCCAGCAUUCAGUUGGGCACUCUGGGGGAACCGCCGGUGACAAGCCGGAGGAAGGUGUGGAUGACGUCAAGUCCUCAUGGCCCUUACGAGGUGGGCUACACACGUGCUACAAUGGCGGUGACAGUGGGUUAAUCCCAAAAAACCGUCUCAGUCGGGGUCUGCAACUCGACCCCGUGAAGUCGGAAUCGCUAGUAAUCGCAGAUCAGCNUGCCGCGGUG